UGCAAACUGUGGGUAGUGGUUGUAAGACC
RNAcentral lists this non-coding RNA (29 nucleotides) under Mus musculus (house mouse). Lineage: Eukaryota; Metazoa; Chordata; Mammalia; Rodentia; Muridae. The record is from RNAcentral.